This 378-nucleotide ribosomal RNA is filed under the name uncultured bacterium. RNAcentral's name for it is "bacterial SSU rRNA". It matches the Rfam family "Bacterial small subunit ribosomal RNA", at positions 521 to 896 of the family's 1533-position model. The record is from RNAcentral.
UAAGACGUAGGGAGCGAGCGUUGUCCGGAUUCAUUGGGCGUAAAGCGCGCGUAGGCGGCUACGCAAGUCGAAUGUGAAAACUCGGGGCUCAACCCCGAGCCUGCAUCCGAUACUGCGUGGCUAGAGGUAGGUAGGGGAGAUCGGAAUUCCUGGUGUAGCGGUGAAAUGCGCAGAUAUCAGGAGGAACACCGGUGGCGAAGGCGGAUCUCUGGGCCUUACCUGACGCUCAGGCGCGAAAGCUAGGGGAGCGAACAGGAUUAGAUACCCUGGUAGUCCUAGCCGUAAACGUUGGGUGCUAGGUGUGGGUGGACAUCGACCCCAUCCGUGCCGAAGCUAACGCAUUAAGCACCCCGCCUGGGGAGUACGGCCGCAAGGCUA